UGGGGAAUAUUGGACAAUGGGCGCAAGCCUGAUCCAGCCAUGCCGCGUGAGUGAUGAAGGCCUUAGGGUUGUAAAGCUCUUUCGACGGGGACGAUAAUGACGGUACCCGUAGAAGAAGCCCCGGCUAACUUCGUGCCAGCAGCCGCGGUAAUACGAAGGGGGCUAGCGUUGCUCGGAAUCACUGGGCGUAAAGGGCGCGUAGGCGGACGUUUAAGUCAGAGGUGAAAGCCCAGGGCUCAACCCUGGAAUGGCCUUUGAUACUGGACGUCUUGAGUCUGGUAGAGGUUGGUGGAACUGCGAGUGUAGAGGUGAAAUUCGUAGAUAUUCGCAAGAACACCGGUGGCGAAGGCGGCCAACUGGACCAGAACUGACGCUGAGGCGCGAAAGCGUGGGGAGCAAACAGGAUUNGAUACCCUGGUAGUCCACGCCGUAAACGAUGGAUGCUAGCCGUUGGCCGGUUUACCGGUCAGUGGCGCAGCUAACGCGUUAAGCAUCCCGCCUGGGGAGUACGGCCGCAAGGUUAAAAC
Molecule: ribosomal RNA, 527 nt
Filed under: uncultured bacterium
Lineage: Bacteria
Description: partial 16S ribosomal RNA
Rfam family: Bacterial small subunit ribosomal RNA
Source: RNAcentral